AGAACGAACGCUGGCGGCAGGCCUCAAACAUGCAAGUCUAGGGGGUGUAGCAAUACAUCACCGGCGGACGGGUGCGUAACGCGUGGGAAUGUACCUAUUGGUUCGGAACAACUGAGGGAAACUUCAGCUAAUACCGGAUGAGCCCGAAAGGGGAAAGAUUUCUCGCCAAUAGAUCAGCCCGCGUCCGAUUAGCUAGUUGGUGGGGUAAAAGCCUACCAAGGCGACGAUCGGUAGCUGUUCUGAGAGGAAGAUCAGCCACACUGGGACUGAGACACGGCCCAGACUCCUACGGGAGGCAGCAGUUGGGAAUCUUGGACAAUGGGGGAAACCCUGAUCCAGCCAUGCCGCGUGAGUGAUGAAGGCCUUCGGGUUGUAAAACUCUUUCGACGGGACGAUAAUGAGGUACCCGUAGAAGAAGCUCGGCUAACUUCGUGCCAGCAGCCGC
This 445-nucleotide ribosomal RNA is filed under the name uncultured bacterium. RNAcentral describes it as "SSU rRNA". It matches the Rfam family "Bacterial small subunit ribosomal RNA", at positions 26 to 518 of the family's 1533-position model. The record is from RNAcentral.